Long non-coding RNA from Tupaia belangeri chinensis (Chinese tree shrew), 1497 nucleotides. RefSeq lists it as uncharacterized. NCBI's taxonomy places the organism in Eukaryota, Metazoa, Chordata, Mammalia, Scandentia, Tupaiidae. The transcript has 2 exons. The record is from RefSeq and is a predicted model, not a curated record.
GCCUGCGCGCCCCGCGGGCAUCCUCAGGCUCGACCCGGGGACCGCGGGGACCCCAGCUCCCCUUCCUCACCUAAAAUUCUUGCUGCGCCCCUCCCUUGGUGCCUGGACCCGCGUCCAGCCCGCGGUCCCUUUGCUGGACCUGGGUGGCGUGCGGCCCUCCCCCGCCCCCGGCCUGGGUUCCUGCGCCCCCAGACCGAGCGCCCCUCUUUUGUAUUCCCCCUUUAAUCCCCCUCCCCCCAUUCCACCCAACUUCAGCCCCGGCACUGCGCCCCCCUUUCCCUGGCCGGGCUCGAUUGGCCGCUUCCUGAGCUGUCAGACUCGAGUCCCGCGCUCUUAUUGGGCGAGCCUAUGGCCUGGCGGCCGUGCCAAAGGAGGGCGCACCGAGUGGGGGGCGCCUGGGCCGCGACCGCCGCUGGGACUUGGAGACCCGAGUCCCCGGAGGGGCUUGAAAACCAUACCCGGAAAAGAACCGGGGAGAUGCAAAGACCGAGAACCUCUGAGGCGCAAGAAGACAGUGACAGAAAAGAUGGAGAUGCAGGGUCUUUUGUCAGCUCCUGGCAGUCUCCGCAAGGUGUCAGCGGGAAGAAUGUGGACCAGAGCAAGGUGGAGUCCCAGCUGGGGGCCAGGCCAGGAGAAGGAGCAGAUACAGACAGAGACAGCACCACAGCACCGACAGAGGCAGGAUGCAGCGGACUGUUCUGCCGGGCCAGGAACACCUAGGCCUGUGGAAUGAUGUGUCUACCCAAGUGCUCUGCCCCGGAACUGUCCAGCUGGAGGCUCUGGCAGUUAUACCCUGGGAGGGGAGGAGUGCGGGAAUUACAUCUCUACCCAAAGGGGAGAAACAGCCUUCCCUUCACCCUUCUCUACCCUGCGACCCUCUCCCCAGAGCUUCUGACAAGGAGCGAGGGGUCUGCUGAGCUGCCUUUUCUCUCCCUCUCUGCUGGUCAUUUGCAGAUUGGAAGAUAAACCUUGCCAGAUCCUGAUUAGGAGAAAAUUUCCCACAUCUAAACCGACUAACCCUUAAAUAGUGCGGCCUUGGAGUAACCCAUGAAUACCUAAAUCAUGAGCAACAUGAAUUCAGUCAACCAAAAUUCUAGAGCAUCCCCCAGGUGCAGAGCAUUGUUAGUUGCUACCUAGAGAGCGAGAUGACCAAACUGAGCCAGAAACUUACCAUCGGGGAGGCGGAAGAGCUAGACACUACCUCCAGGUCAGUGCAGAGUUCAGUGUUCUGCAGAGUCCGACAGCAUAUCCAGUGUUCAGAGAGAGAGGAGACAUCACACACCUCCUCUCUCUUUUUGAGGGCCAAAACCUCUGGAGGUGGAAUCUGGUCUAGCAGGGAGGAAUGAGUAAGGAAAAAGGGAGACAGGGCCAGUAUUGUGAAGCAAGCACUUCAUGUCUGUAAGCAUCUGAUUGUCAGAUAACCAUUCUGAGGAAUGCGUUGCUCUCUCCACUAUAAAAAUGAGAAAACAGACUUGGAGAAUAAAAGUUUGCCCAAGA